This is a small nuclear RNA of Homo sapiens (human), 99 nucleotides long. It matches the Rfam family "U2 spliceosomal RNA". Rfam says of the family: U2 is a small nuclear RNA (snRNA) component of the spliceosome (involved in pre-mRNA splicing). Complementary binding between U2 snRNA (in an area lying towards the 5' end but 3' to hairpin I) and the branchpoint sequence (BPS) of the intron results the bulging out of an unpaired adenosine, on the BPS, which initiates a nucleophilic attack at the intronic 5' splice site, thus starting the first of two transesterification reactions that mediate splicing. The record is from Rfam. NCBI's taxonomy places the organism in Eukaryota, Metazoa, Chordata, Mammalia, Primates, Hominidae.
CUUGCUUCUUGGCCUUUUGGCUGAGAUCAAGUAUAGUGUUUGUUCUUAUCAGAAAUAUGGUAAAUAGGAAAAAUGAAAUAAAAGCAUAAAUAAGCCCUA